GGCCUAUAAAGCUUUGUAAAUCCUGUCCCGGUAAAGCUCUGUGCGGCCUGAAGCUGGAACUCCGGAUGUCAAAGUCAACUGUACUGGAUGUUCACUGAUGCUAAAGGGAAUCGAUGAGUCAUCCUGCUGGACCUCUACCGCAGCUGACAUCCAUGUCUGAUGAAAAGAGCGACAAAACUAUUGUUGUGAGCCUCCUCAUAUACUUACAACUGACUCAGAAGGACAAUCAGAUAAUGCGUCUCUUCAUCUUUACAUCUUUAACAUUGGAAAAUCGAUUCUCUCCAUCAUCAUCAUCAUUAUCAUCCUCCUUCCCCUUUCUCCGCCAUCCAAGAUGACGAACCUGUUGACUCAUUCACCCCUUUGCUCAUUCACAACCAAUGCUUGACCAAGAGAAACGCGGACAGGUAUAGGAGAAACACAGAGCGUGAGUCAGACGAGCACUGCAGCGGUUCCUCCGAGAGCACUAAAACACACCCAUCCAAUCCAUCAGCCUUCAUUCAUCCUUCGCCUCAUCCUUCCAUUCACACAAUCAGAGCGGCGGAGAGGAGGAGGAGGAGGGAGUGAGAGAGGGAGAGAGACGCUGCGAU
Molecule: non-coding RNA, 587 nt
Organism: Danio rerio (zebrafish)
Lineage: Eukaryota; Metazoa; Chordata; Actinopteri; Cypriniformes; Danionidae
Source: Ensembl